RNAcentral lists this ribosomal RNA (253 nucleotides) under uncultured bacterium. RNAcentral describes it as "partial 16S ribosomal RNA". It matches the Rfam family "Bacterial small subunit ribosomal RNA", at positions 524 to 776 of the family's 1533-position model. The record is from RNAcentral.
UACGGAGGGCGCAAGCGUUGUUCGGAAUCACUGGGCGUAAAGCGCGUGUAGGCGGCUCGGCAAGUCGGGUGUGAAAUCCCGAGGCUCAACCUCGGAACUGCACUCGAAACUGCCGGGCUCGAGUCCCGGAGAGGGUGGCGGAAUUCCCGGUGUAGGGGUGAAAUCCGUAGAUAUCGGGAGGAACACCAGUGGCGAAGGCGGCCACCUGGACGGUGACUGACGCUGAGACGCGAAAGCGUGGGGAGAAAACAGG